UACGUAGGGUGCAAGCGUUAAUCGGAAUUACUGGGCGUAAAGCGUGCGCAGGCGGUUAUGUAAGACAGAUGUGAAAUGCCCGGGCUUAACCUGGGAACUGCAUUUGUGACUGCGAUGGCUAGAAUCUGGCAGAGGGGGGGUAGAAUUCCACGUGUAGCAGUGAAAUGCGUAGAGAUGUGGAGGAACACCGAUGGCGAAGGCAGCCCCCUGGGUCAAGAUUGACGCUCAUGCACGAAAGCGUGGGGAGCAAACAGG
RNAcentral lists this ribosomal RNA (255 nucleotides) under uncultured bacterium. RNAcentral describes it as "partial 16S ribosomal RNA". It matches the Rfam family "Bacterial small subunit ribosomal RNA", at positions 524 to 776 of the family's 1533-position model. The record is from RNAcentral.